GAUGAACGCUGGCGGCGUGCCUAAUACAUGCAAGUCGAGCGAACGGACGAGAAGCUUGCUUCUCUGAUGUUAACGGCGGACGGGUGAGUAACACGUGGAUAACCUACCUAUAAGACUGGGAUAACUUCGGGAAACCGGAGCUAAUACCGGAUAAUAUUUUGAACCGCAUGGUUCAAAAGUGAAAGACGGUCUUGCUGUCACUUAUAGAUGGAUCCGCGCUGCAUUAGCUAGUUGGUAAGGUAACGGCUUACCAAGGCAACGAUGCAUAGCCGACCUGAGAGGGUGAUCGGCCACACUGGAACUGAGACACGGUCCAGACUCCUACGGGAGGCAGCAGUAGGGAAUCUUCCGCAAUGGGCGAAAGCCUGACGGAGCAACGCCGCGUGAGUGAUGAAGGUCUUCGGAUCGUAAAACUCUGUUAUUAGGGAAGAACAUAUGUGUAAGUAACUGUGCACAUCUUGACGGUACCUAAUCAGAAAGCCACGGCUAACUACGUG
RNAcentral lists this ribosomal RNA (497 nucleotides) under uncultured bacterium. RNAcentral's name for it is "partial 16S ribosomal RNA". It matches the Rfam family "Bacterial small subunit ribosomal RNA", at positions 28 to 507 of the family's 1533-position model. The record is from RNAcentral.